RNAcentral lists this transfer RNA (74 nucleotides) under Caulobacter phage Cr30. It matches the Rfam family "tRNA". From Rfam's summary of the family: Transfer RNA (tRNA) molecules are approximately 80 nucleotides in length. Lineage: Duplodnaviria; Heunggongvirae; Uroviricota; Caudoviricetes. The record is from Rfam by way of RNAcentral.
GCAUCUAUGGUGAUAUUGGCUAGCACAUCUGGUUUCCACCCAGAAGGAUUCGGUUCGAGCUCCGAAUAGAUGCU